UCCACAUAGGGAGCGGUGGUCCAGUCAAGU
This 30-nucleotide non-coding RNA is filed under the name Rattus norvegicus (Norway rat). The record is from RNAcentral. Lineage: Eukaryota; Metazoa; Chordata; Mammalia; Rodentia; Muridae.